RNAcentral lists this ribosomal RNA (497 nucleotides) under uncultured bacterium. RNAcentral's name for it is "partial 16S ribosomal RNA". It matches the Rfam family "Bacterial small subunit ribosomal RNA", at positions 28 to 507 of the family's 1533-position model. The record is from RNAcentral.
GACGAACGCUGGCGGCGUGCCUAAUACAUGCAAGUUGAGCGAUGAAGCUUGGUGCUUGCACCAAUUUGAAGAGCAGCGAACGGGUGAGUAACGCGUGGGGAAUCUGCCUUUGAGCGGGGGACAACAUUUGGAAACGAAUGCUAAUACCGCAUAACAACUUUAAACAUAAGUUUUAAGUUUGAAAGAUGCAAUUGCAUCACUCAAAGAUGAUCCCGCGUUGUAUUAGCUAGUUGGUGAGGUAAAGGCUCACCAAGGCGAUGAUACAUAGCCGACCUGAGAGGGUGAUCGGCCACAUUGGGACUGAGACACGGCCCAAACUCCUACGGGAGGCAGCAGUAGGGAAUCUUCGGCAAUGGACGAAAGUCUGACCGAGCAACGCCGCGUGAGUGAAGAAGGUUUUCGGAUCGUAAAACUCUGCUGGUAGAGAAGAACGUUGGUGAGAGUGGAAAGCUCAUCAAGUGACGGUAACUACCCAGAAAGGGACGGCUAACUACGUG